Molecule: ribosomal RNA, 550 nt
Filed under: uncultured bacterium
Lineage: Bacteria
Description: bacterial SSU rRNA
Rfam family: Bacterial small subunit ribosomal RNA
Source: RNAcentral
UAGGGANUCUUCGGCAAUGGACGGAAGUCUGACCGAGCAACGCCGCGUGAGUGAAGAAGGUUUUCGGAUCGUAAAGCUCUGUUGUAAGAGAAGAACGAGUGUGAGGGUGGAAAGUUCACACUGUGACGGUAUCUUACCAGAAAGGGACGGCUAACUACGUGCCAGCAGCCGCGGUAAUACGUAGGUCCCGAGCGUUGUCCGGAUUUAUUGGGCGUAAAGCGAGCGCAGGCGGUUAGAUAAGUCUGAAGUUAAAGGCUGUGGCUUAACCAUAGUACGCUUUGGAAACUGUUUAACUUGAGUGCAAGAGGGGAGAGUGGAAUUCCAUGUGUAGCGGUGAAAUGCGUAGAUAUAUGGAGGAACACCGGUGGCGAAAGCGGCUCUCUGGCUUGUAACUGACGCUGAGGCUCGAAAGCGUGGGGAGCAAACAGGAUUAGAUACCCUGGUAGUCCACGCCGUAAACGAUGAGUGCUAGGUGUUAGACCCUUUCCGGGGUUUAGUGCCGCAGCUAACGCAUUAAGCACUCCGCCUGGGGAGUACGACCGCAAGGUUG